Molecule: ribosomal RNA, 465 nt
Filed under: uncultured bacterium
Lineage: Bacteria
Description: partial 16S ribosomal RNA
Rfam family: Bacterial small subunit ribosomal RNA
Source: RNAcentral
GACGAACGCUGGCGGCGUGCUUAACACAUGCAAGUCGUACGGUAAGGCCCUUUCGGGGGUACACGAGUGGCGAACGGGUGAGUAACACGUGAGUAACCUGCCCACAACUUUGGGAUAACGCUAGGAAACUGGUGCUAAUACUGGAUAUGUGCUCCUGCUGCAUGGUGGGGGUUGGAAAGCUCCGGCGGUUGUGGAUGGACUCGCGGCCUAUCAGCUUGUUGGUGGGGUAGUGGCCUACCAAGGCGGCGACGGGUAGCCGGCCUGAGAGGGUGACCGGCCACAUUGGGACUGAGAUACGGCCCAGACGCCGACGGGAGGCAGCAGUUGGGAAUAUUGCACAAGGGGCGCAAGCCUGAUGCAGCAACGCCGCGUGCGGGAUGACGGCCUUCGGGUUGUAAACCGCUUUCAGCAGGGACGAAGCUUUUUGUGACGGUACCUGCAGAAGAAGCACCGGCUAACUACGUG